AAUACUUCCUGGUUACAUUCUUGUCAACAGACAGUGAUUAAACUUGCACAGAGGUUCCGCAAUAUUUGGUAUGUUAUAUUUUUGUCAAUAUCCUGAGUCUUAUAUUUAAUAUGGCGCCGUCCGUACCGAUAUGCGAUAUCUGUAUGACAGAUAACAUAACAAAAUCUGCCACCGUUUGGUGUUCAGAAUGUGAAGAAGCCAUAUGUAAUGAAUGCGAAAGACAACAUGGCCGCAUGGGUUUAACAAAGUACCAUAAAACAAUACCUAUAAAAGAUUACCAGAAACUGCCUAGUUCUGUUGCUGCAAUCAAACAGAAAUGCAUGCGUCACAAUUUAAAAUUCUACUUCUAUUGUGUAAUUCACAACGAACCAUGUUGUGUGUCUUGUAUUUCAGAGGAACAUGGUACCUGUCAAAAAUUGAAGCUAUAUCGGAAGUAGUGGAAGGAGCAAAGUCGUCUGCUGCAUUUGCAGAUUUAGAAGAUAGGGCAAAAGACAUCAGCGCACUUAUUGGCAAUCUGAUAACUGAGAAUCAAAAUAAUCGAGCAGCUUUUGGAGUUCAGAAAGAUAAAAUCAUUUCUGAAGUGCAAAAUAUCCGAACAGCAAUAAAUGAUCAUUUAAUUAAACUAGAAAAAGAUCUUUUGGAUAAAUUGGACAACAUGGAGAAAAAACAGAACGGAAAUAUUGAUAGUUUUAUUAAAAAGCUCUCAGAAAUGCGCACAAAAGUUGAAAACAUAAGUGGUGAUUUGGAAAAAACUAAGCGACACGCGUCAAAUUUCCAAGCUUUCAUUGGUAUACACGAAUGGAAAAAAAAAUUGAGAUAGAAGAAAAAGAUUGGAUGUCCUUACAAACCGAUCAGAUAAUGAACCAUUUUGAUAUUAACAUAAAAUGUUCACCGAUACUUUUGAAGUUCGAGAAAGACGUCACAGAAUUAGGGAAGAUAGAAGUGAAUUCUUCGUCCUAAAAAAAAAUACUUCUUAAGAAGGAGAAGCAGGGACAGAUUUUUGUUCCUAUUUCUAACACUGUAGAUACCAUUAAAUUAACAAAUAUCCGCUCUUUCUACACACUAGAUGGAACAUCCAGCAAUACGCUUAUAACAGGUUUCGAUAUGUUCGACGACGGGAGAAUCGUGCUUGCCGAUCAAUCGUCAAACAAAAGACUUAUUAUCAUGAAUCAAGAAGGCGAGCAUAUAAAAAAAUACAACUUGAAGAACAAUGUUUUGAUGUGGCAGUAAUAGAUGAAGACACAGUUGCUACAACAUUAUUUGUCAAGAAGAAAGUUGUUAUUGUUGAUGUUAACUCAUCAGAAGUACAAAGGACUAUACGUACGAAAGACGAAUGCUACGGUAUUAUUAGUACAGGUGAACAAUUAGUCGUCAGCUUCUACAACAAGACCAUUCAGUUCUUUGAUAUUUCUGGCAAUACCUUGUCAACGUUGUCAACAGCCGAUACGUCCAUUUAUUGUACAUUUUUGAAUGACAAACUUUAUUAUACCACAUGCAAUAGUGAUGCUGUCUACUCAGCUGAAUUACAUGGAGAAGUUCGUUGGAAAUUCGACUGUCAGAAAUCAGCUUAUCCGACCGAUAUAACUAACGAUGCUUCUGGAAAUAUUUUCGUAGCGUGUAGAAACAGUAAUCAAAUGGUGGUAGUAGGGCACGAUGGGAAGGAAUCAAGAGUCCUCUUAACAAAAGAAGAUGGAUUGCAAAAACCUAGAGCAAUACACUACAACUGUAAAACCAACACACUCGUUGUGUGUAAUUUUUUAGGACAAUGCUUCCUAUACAAAGUUACAAACUGAAUAUUUUGUUAAUAAUGCAGAGAAUAUAGCUUUUGUAUACUAUGUAUAAUUAUAUAAAUUUCAGACAAAUAGCAGCAUGACAAAAAACUUAUAAAAUAUGAUUAGUCCAGUGUCAACAGAAGAUAGGACACAAUGUGACUGUCACUAUUUUUUCAUGAGAAGAUGGAUAAGACAAUUAAAAGGUCAAGUCUUACUUGGGUAUUAUAUGAAGUGAAUACAAAUAUUAAAAUCAGAAGUUUGAAUUUAAUUAUGAGUAUUCGAUGCGAUUUAUUCUUUAGCUUUUCAAAGACACAUUUUCUUUUUCAAUGACUGGUUAUUUAAAAAGGUAUUUCACAUGAUGUCUACGAAAAUACUGUCACUUGUACAAGAUAUUAAGGGAAAUCAAGUGUUCAGCAAUUAAUUACUCAAUAACAGUUUACACUUUUAUAGAAGUUUGCACUUUAAUGGAAAUAUUUAAGUGUUCAUGUUUGUGUUGAUUAAAUUUGUUAGAUUUU
Mytilus californianus (California mussel) is the source of this 2287-nucleotide RNA transcript. RefSeq lists it as uncharacterized. The transcript has 2 exons. The record is from RefSeq and is a predicted model, not a curated record. Lineage: Eukaryota; Metazoa; Mollusca; Bivalvia; Mytilida; Mytilidae.